AGGAACUCCCGCUGAAGAGACUGAGACACAUCAUUAUCAAGAUGGAGUUUAUUAAAGAGGAGAGAGAAGACGUGAAGAUUGAAGACACAUUCAGAGUCAAACAUGAAGAGACUGAGGAACAAACAGCGAUGGUGUCAGUUAAAGAGGAGAGUGAAGACGUGAAGAUUGAAGACACAUUCAGAGUCAAACAUGAAGAGACUGAGGAACAAACAGAGAUGGUGUCAGUUAAAGAGGAGAGAGAAGACGUGAAGAUUGAAGACACAUUCAGAGUCAAACAUGAAGAUACUGAGGAACAAACAGAGAUGGUGUCAGUUAAAGAGGAGAGAGAAGAAGUGAAGACUGGAGAAAUAUUCAGAGUCAAACAUGAAGAGACUGAGACAGACACUAUUACAAAGAUGGAGUUUAUUAAAGAGGAGACUGAGGACAUGAAGAUUGAAGAAACAUUCACAGUCAAACUUGAAGAUACUGAGAAACCAACGAAGAUGGAGUCAGUUAAUGAAGAGAGAGAAGUGAAGAUUGAAGAAGUAUUCAGUCUGAAAUAUGAAGAGACUGAGACACAAACAGAUCAUCUACAUCAUCUGCUCCUCUUCAAGAUGAAGCUGAAAUGGCGGCUUUAUUAGCUAGUCAGCAAAUACUGCAACAGAAGCACACUGUGGAAGAGGAGCGCUUAAGAAAAUAUAUAUAGUAUUUCACAAUACUUCAUGCUAUUCUAAUUAAUCAUUUUUUGGAGUCUUGCGUCUCUCAGAACCUGACACCUUUUAAUUAUGUUGUGGCGAAGAACAUUCCUUGAAUUCCUGUACCAUAUUAGUAGAGAUUGUUAGAAGUGUAUUAUAUGCUGAGUGUGUGGCUUUAAACAUAGUCGUGUUUAUGGUGCAUGUGUUUUUUCAUGUUCCCAUACUGUAUUCCAAAAAGGAGCAUAGUAUGGGUGUUGGUUUUUUUGUAAUGGUAUGCUGUAUUUCUUCCUCUAUUCCUUGUCUUCCUGUUCUGGUACAUGUGACUAGUGAAAAUAAAGGGCUUCUGCUACUACUACUAAUGGCUGACAUUGAGUCUAUGUUCUAUCAGGUAAAGGUUCCUGUAGAAGAUAAUGACCUUUUAAGGUUUCUAUGGUGGCCAAAAGUCAACUUGAGUGAAGGCUUAGAGCAGGUGUGUCAAACAUACGGCCCACAGAGGUGUCCAAUAUGCAGCAUGAGGAUAUGAUGAAAGCUGCGUUGUAACUGAUGCUUGUGUGGCAAUUUUCUUGUGAUUUUAAACAUGUCCAAAAGAAGACAUUUGGCCUGGAAUGACAGACAGGCUAUUUAAGGAGAGAUGGAAAAAAGGUAUUAUUAUUUCAACGCCAACAUGUAAGUUUAAUCAUAACUUGUGGCUAAUAUUAAAUUACACUGAACGCACUGGAUAGCUUUGUAUGGAGAAAGUAAAUGAACAAGGAGUGUGCAAUAUUUAUUGUGUACUUAUAUCCUAACUGUUGUCUUAAUGAUGUGCGAACUGAGAUUUUGUGACCUUUUUUGUAAAAAAACAUUGUUAGUGUUUUUCAGUGUCGGAUGAAGGCUAUCAGGUUACAAUAUAAUUCAAGAUAUGAGGCAAAAAUGCCCUGUAUUGUUUUUCAUAUUUGUCAUGAUCGUUAAGUAAUGUUUAACUAUAACAAGAGUGUUGCUUUCCCGAAUGUCAGCGUGAUCGCUUUUAUGCAGUAGCUCAACUAAAAAGAUGCUAAGGGGCCGUUCAAAUAUUGCACCUAAAAAUGUGUGUAAAACGCUAGGCGCGUAGCUUUCUCCUUCUUUCCAAAACGCUCAGGCAGUUGAACUCCUGAGGCGUCUGUCAUUGCUAAGUAACCAUGACCCACUCUCUCCAUGAACACACAGAAAUUUGAGCAAUGGAUAAAUGGAUUUGCAGCUCUAAGAAUCGCUUGCAGCAGCUCUACUACUAAAUUUAUUUUAAAAUGGCUAUCCAUAUACAGCUAUGGCUGAGCUUUCAAUGUUGUCAAGGAAAGGAUGAAGCUGAUGGUUAGUUCUUGUCACAUGACCCGCGGUGCGCUUGUGGCAUUCUGAAUAGUUGAGAUGUUUUUAACUCGAUGUGGUGCGGACGCGCCUGGAAAAAAUGAGCGCAUCACACCACGUGCGCGUUGCGACCGUGUCACUUCCAUUAUGAGCGUGCAUACUGUGCGUCUACAUUGUGUGACCAGAUGCUCACCUCCAGGUUGUUCACUAUAUGAUUAAAUUGAUUGCCCUUUGCCGCUGACCAAUUUCCUUUUCAUCUUUGUGACAUGUCAUUUCCGAUCAGCCAUAAAUAGCCCCUUUUUAUUCAAAUUGAUACAAUGAGGCCAAAAGACUCUGACUACAAAAUUACUAUGUGCUCCAUUAAAUACCAGUGCAAUUCUAGGCAUGGAUCUACUCAGACAAGUACAUCUAACUUUAGACAUCCUCAGAAUCUGCUAGCAUUAAAAUUUCCUCAGCACAAGUUUCUAACAAUAACGUAUUAACUCCUGAAUAUGCUUUCUUACAGAAUCAUCCAAUUUGGGCUAAAGACAAGGAUGAUUUUGGGUUUUUGACAGGUGUAGAACCAGUCAAAUUGACAGGAACUCCACCUCCUGUUACCAAGCAAUAUCCUAUCAGUAAGGAAGCUAUACAGGGGAUAAAACCUAUUGUUGAAGCAAGGAGUGCUAUUUAACCCUCUGGAGUCUAAGGGUAUUUUUGGUGCCUGGAGAAAUUUUGUCAUGCCCUGACAUUUGUGCUUUUUUCAGUUUCUUAUAAAUAUCUAAAUGGGUAAAGUCUAGUCUCACUGUAAUCAGCACAAACUGGGCUAUAAUAAUGUGAAAUGCAUGUAUGUACAUGAUUGUGUUUUUGAGAAAAAAAAAAUAUUAUGCAUGGUUAAUGAAAAACUAAAAAUGUUAAAACAUUUGAAUAAGGCCAUAAAACACAUACAUAACAUUGUUUCCCGGGACUGUUGAGAACUGGAGCUUGUAGCCUAGAAUUUUUCUUCCUAAAUUAUGUGAAAAUCAUCUUGUUUACUCACUCACAGAAAACAAUAUAUUGAUUUAAAUUUUCUAUGACAGUUUUUGUUGGUAAAAGUCAUAUGCGAGUAGGCAUCAACUAUCAUGAAUAUCAUUGUGAUUUACACCUGAAAAGACAAAGGCCUGCAUAAUGAGCUGCAUAAUGAGCUGCAUAAUGAGCCCUCAGUCAGCUGUGUCAUUGAGAGGGAGGAGUUACAAGAAAGAAUGUGAGAAUAAAAUAAAAGUAUAUAAUUUUAUGUUUGUAGUUUAUUAAGAAUAUAUUUAAUUAUCCCACAACAUGAUUUAAUAUCCACUUGGGGGAGCAGUUAAACCGUUUAUUAGAAACAAUCAGAGCUGACUUUCAAACAAAUUUUUAGGCAUCCUUACUCCAGUCACACAAUCCUUCAGAAAUCCUUUCAACAAUCUUAUUUUCUACCAAAAAAAAACCCCAUUUAUUAUCAUCAUCAUCAUUAUUAUUAUUAUUAUUAAUGUUGAAAAGAGCUGAGAAUAUUUUUCAGGUUUUUUAGGGGGAAUAAAUUGAAAGAACUGCAUUGUUUUUACAUUUGUUAGAGUUAUCUCUAUUUGUCACAUUUAUAUUAUUUACAUCAAGCUUUUGAAUGGUAUAGUAUUGUAUAUUGUUAUUGAAACUUCAUAAUGUUUCACUUGAUUAUACAUUUAGUCAGGAAUUAUAGUUUGGAAAAAGUAUUUGGAAAAAGUCUAUAAAAUAAAUAAAAAGUAUAUAAAUAAAUAAAAAGAGACUUACUCACGUUUAUGAUCUCUGCUGAAUAAAGUGCUUCAUUCUUUUUUUCUGAAGAAAUCCAUUUCUCAAAUCCUCAACCACAUCACAUCUUUUUGGGGUGAUUUAUGUCUUAUUCCUCUCAUUGCGAAGCAAACAGUAAAAUAAAAAAACUUGAACAGUCUCGCUGCUUUUUCUUCUGUUAUUGGAGUAUUCAAGUGGCGCGCUUCUGUUUGAAUCUGAAUAGCGCGUUCAGCGCGGGGGUGUGGUCACAUUAGAUAUAAUGAAGGGAGAAUAUCUGUUUUCGGCGGCACUUGUUUAGUCUAAAAUAAGACAUGUCAAGCUUUCUAUAGAUAUCUCUCUCAUGUCUCUUCGUUGAGUAUUCACGGAGUUACAGUUCAUUUUAAUGACGUGUUUGUAAAUGAAGAGCAGCGCAGACAAAGGCUGCAGACAGUGCACCUUGUUUGUUAUCUUUAUUUUAUAAGUGCACAAAGUUUUGUUGUUAUUAUGUCUGUAUCCGAAAAAAAAGUAGACCCUUUACAGAUUCGAUUGAUGUAUUGCCCUUAUCCGUACGAUUAAAACUGAGAGUGUAAUUUAAGUUCUUUUCGGGGUUAUCAGGAGAAAAAUGACUCAAAACGCAUAUAUGCGUUAAUCGACUCGAAAGGGUUAAAAACAAACAGUCCCUGUAACUCACACAUAUGGCCCAUCAAGAAACCUAAUGUGACAUGCAGACUCACCAUAGACUACAGAGUAGCCAAUAAAUAUAUUGAUAAAAUCACCCCCCAGUGGCAGAUCCAUCUACAAUUUGUAAUGGCUUACCAUUAGGUUGUAAAGUUUUUUUCUGUAAUCGAUAUGUCUAACUGAUUAUUUCCAUACCCUUGCAUACUCUGACAGCCCAACAAUAUCAGUGGACACUUUUGGCCAAG
Carassius auratus (goldfish) is the source of this 4645-nucleotide long non-coding RNA. NCBI's taxonomy places the organism in Eukaryota, Metazoa, Chordata, Actinopteri, Cypriniformes, Cyprinidae. The record is from Ensembl.